CAAGAAAAAUGCUACAAUCAAUGCUCUGUGAUUAAAUGAAUGGAUGGAUGUAAUGAAGCAACUGAUAGAGCACUUUUUCCUCAUGGAAUGCGACAUGCUUUCUUAAGCAGUGGCAUGGAUGUUUAAAGGGGACAUAUUAUGCUCCUUUUCAACAAGUUUGAAUAAGUCUCAGAGGUCCCCAAAGCAUGUAUUUGAAGCUUUUUGCUAAAAAAAUCCACUCCGAUCCUAUAUUUCAGCAUGCCUGUAAACCCCUCUUUUUGAGCCCUGUUCAGAACAGGCUGUUUCUGUGUCUGUAGCUUUAAAUGCAAUGAGAUGUGCCUGACCACGCCCCUCUCCGGAAGGGGAUGCCGUUCGGGCUUCUGGCACCGUGCUCUAAUGUUUACGGUGACCGUGACCGGCAACCUGGCGUCGGUAGCGAUUUGGUUCAACCACACAACUUUUAUCCAGAAUCUGAGCCAGAGGGAGAGGCUGCUGAAGAAGUUCAAACUCUACAACUGCAGCAGGACGUUUCUGAAUGGUGCUCCUGUGGAAACUGUGCAACCAUGCGCACAGAAGCUGAGAACAUCUGCUGCUAAGAGAUACCACAGGUUACCAGAUGGCUAUGGGAGAUCGUGGAAGAUUUACCAUGUAUGGUAGACCGUCCUGGGUUGGAGCCGCUCUGCAAUGUGUACUCCCUCCAGAAUGCCUGCAACAUGUACUGCACUGACUAUGGUCCUUAACGGUUGAGAGGAAUACAACAGUACGUUUUGAUUCUUUGUAAAAAACAUAGUUUCAAUCUAAAUAAAAGAUGUUAGACAGUCUUGUUUUACUUCAGUGCACAUAAUUUUACAAUGGUAAUAACACACCACAAAUAGAGUAACACACACUCAAAUAAAUUAGUUUAGCUGCUCUUUGAUUUGUAAAGUUCUUCUAUCAGCAGAUAGUGUGCAUAUAAUAUGAAUUCAGAGGAGUCAUUUCUUUAGUAACAAUCAAGCAUUUAUUUACAUCAAAUGAGGCACUUAUAAUCAGUGAUGAUAAAAAAACUGUAGGAUUCACUGGAUCCAUAAAAAAAAUUGUGAGACACAACAUAGAUAUAUGUUUGCAAGACUAAAUGUCCUGUCCAGUUGUUUUAGUCAGUACAGGUAUCUAGCCUAUAGGAGCUUUGUGAGCUGGUGCUGGGGCUUCCUUGGUUGCAGAAUCUGGGUCGUCAUUCUAGCCUGCGUGGUCCUACGCAUCCAUGCCGUGUUUCCUGACGCCACAGGCCGGUAUGUGGGUUUUAGACUGGCCCAUGAUAGAACCGGGACACAUAGCUGGAUAUGACCUCCUCCUUCUCAGGCCGCUCGAACUGUGCAGUGAGGUCCUCUGGGAUGGGGAUGGCCAAAGCAGCUUCUGUGUAUGGUCCCAGGUCACAAAGACUUUUUCAAAUAUGAGGUCCACCACAUUCCCUGUUUGAUAAAACACAAAAGAUUUUUUUUUUUACAUUUUUCACUUUUGUUUUUACAAAACAAUGACAAUGAGUCUGUUUCUAAAUACCUCCUGACAUUUUCUUUACUGUAUUUUGUUGUUGAUGGAACUGUCAUAACAUUAUAUGUGCAAUAUUUAAUACAAUGUGUACAAAACAUUUUUUGGUUGAAAAAUAAAAUAAUAUAACACUUAUAGAAUGUCGCCUCAGUCUUAACUGGUGUAGCUCUGCAUUCUCCCUUCAUGGCUUUUGGAAAUUGGACCUUGAACAGUGGUUCACCUUCUUUUGUUUGGGCUUGUGGUCGGUCAGCAUUUUCAUUGUACUACAUGGCAGCCAGGUGACAGAUGAUGACAGAAACCUUAGCCUACACACUCUCACAAGUUCUAAGUAACCACAGCUUCAUUUACCUGCACAUUAUUCCACGACUGAUAAAUGACUGUUAGGUUUAUCAAAAGUAGAUGCACUUCAGAUG
Seriola aureovittata is the source of this 1913-nucleotide long non-coding RNA. RefSeq lists it as uncharacterized. The record is from RefSeq and is a predicted model, not a curated record. Lineage: Eukaryota; Metazoa; Chordata; Actinopteri; Carangiformes; Carangidae. The transcript has 3 exons.